This 404-nucleotide ribosomal RNA is filed under the name Actinomycetes bacterium. Its description in RNAcentral is "Actinobacteria bacterium partial 16S ribosomal RNA". It matches the Rfam family "Bacterial small subunit ribosomal RNA", at positions 355 to 776 of the family's 1533-position model. The record is from RNAcentral. Lineage: Bacteria; Bacillati; Actinomycetota; Actinomycetes.
UGGGGAAUAUUGGACAAUGGGCGCAAGCCUGAUCCAGCCAUGCCGCGUGAGUGAUGAAGGCCCUAGGGUUGUAAAGCUCUUUCACCGGUGAAGAUAAUGACGGUAACCGGAGAAGAAGCCCCGGCUAACUUCGUGCCAGCAGCCGCGGUAAUACGAAGGGGGCUAGCGUUGUUCGGAUUUACUGGGCGUAAAGCGCACGUAGGCGGACUUUUAAGUCAGGGGUGAAAUCCCGGGGCUCAACCCCGGAACUGCCUUUGAUACUGGAAGUCUUGAGUAUGGUAGAGGUGAGUGGAAUUCCGGGUGUAGAGGUGAAAUUCGUAGAUAUUCGGUGGAACACCAGUGGCGAAGGCGGCUCACUGGACCAUUACUGACGCUGAGGUGCGAAAGCGUGGGGAGCAAACAGG